Molecule: ribosomal RNA, 510 nt
Filed under: uncultured bacterium
Lineage: Bacteria
Description: bacterial SSU rRNA
Rfam family: Bacterial small subunit ribosomal RNA
Source: RNAcentral
UGGGGAAUCUUGGACAAUGGGGGCAACCCUGAUCCAGCCAUGCCGCGUGAGUGAUGAAGGCCUUAGGGUCGUAAAGCUCUUUCGCCUGUGAAGAUAAUGACGGUAGCCGGAGAAGAAGCCCCGGCUAACUCCGUGCCAGCAGCCGCGGUAAUACGGAGGGGGCUAGCGUUGUUCGGAAUUACUGGGCGUAAAGCGCACGUAGGCGGACCAGAAAGUUGGGGGUGAAAUCCCGGGGGCUCAACCCCGGAACUGCCUCCAAAACUAUUGGUCUAGAGUUCGAGAGAGGUGAGUGGAAUUCCAAGUGUAGAGGUGAAAUUCGUAGAUAUUUGGAGGAACACCAGUGGCGAAGGCGGCUCACUGGCUCGAUACUGACGCUGAGGUGCGAAAGUGUGGGGAGCAAAACAGGAUUAGAUACCCUGGUAGUCCACACCGUAAAACGAUGAAUGCCAGUCGUCGGGUAGCAUGCUAUUCGGUGACACACCUAACGGAUUAAGCAUUCCGCCUGGGGAG